GUAUAAGAGACAGCAGCAGCCGCGGGAAUACAGAGGGUGCGAGCGUUAAUCGGAUUUACUGGGCGUAAAGCGUGCGUAGGCGGCUUCUUAAGUCGGAUGUGAAAUCCCUGAGCUUAACUUAGGAAUUGCAUUCGAUACUGGGAAGCUAGAGUAUGGGAGAGGAUGGUAGAAUUCCAGGUGUAGCGGUGAAAUGCGUAGAGAUCUGGAGGAAUACCGAUGGCGAAGGCAGCCAUCUGGCCUAAUACUGACGCUGAGGUACGAAAGCAUGGGGAGCAAACAGGAUUAGAUACCCCGGUAGUCCCUGUCUCUUAUAC
This 314-nucleotide ribosomal RNA is filed under the name uncultured bacterium. RNAcentral's name for it is "partial 16S ribosomal RNA". It matches the Rfam family "Bacterial small subunit ribosomal RNA", at positions 495 to 807 of the family's 1533-position model. The record is from RNAcentral.